AUACGGAGGGUCCGAGCGUUAAUCGGAAUUACUGGGCGUAAAGCGUACGUAGGUGGCUUGAUUAGUCGGAUGUGAAAGCCCUGGGCUCAACCUGGGAACUGCAUUCGAUACUGUCAGGCUAGAGGAUAGUAGAGGGAAGUGGAAUUCCGGGUGUAGCGGUGAAAUGCGUAGAUAUCCGGAGGAACACCAGUGGCGAAGGCGGCUUCCUGGACUAAUACUGACACUGAGGUGCGAAAGCGUGGGUAGCAAACAGGAUUAGAAACCCCUGUAGUCC
Molecule: ribosomal RNA, 274 nt
Filed under: uncultured bacterium
Lineage: Bacteria
Description: partial 16S ribosomal RNA
Rfam family: Bacterial small subunit ribosomal RNA
Source: RNAcentral